CAGUAGCCGCGGGAAUACGUAGGUGGCAAGCGUUGUCCGGAUUUAUUGGGCGUAAAGCGAGCGCAGGCGGUUAGAUAAGUCUGAAGUUAAAGGCUGUGGCUUAACCAUAGUACGCUUUGGAAACUGUUUAACUUGAGUGCAAGAGGGGAGAGUGGAAUUCCAUGUGUAGCGGUGAAAUGCGUAGAUAUAUGGAGGAACACCGGUGGCGAAAGCGGCUCUCUGGCUUGUAACUGACGCUGAGGCUCGAAAGCGUGGGGAGCAAACAGGAUUAGAUACCCCGGUAGUCCCUGUCUCUUAUACA
Molecule: ribosomal RNA, 301 nt
Filed under: uncultured bacterium
Lineage: Bacteria
Description: partial 16S ribosomal RNA
Rfam family: Bacterial small subunit ribosomal RNA
Source: RNAcentral